CGUGAAAUUUGUGGAACCCAUUUUUUAACUAAGUGGACUCCACAUAAGAAAUAAAAUUAACAAAAUAAAUGAAAAAACAAUAUAAAAAAAUCCACCAAAAAAAAAAACCUCAUCUUCUCCCAUUUCCCUUACCUUCCAGCCUGACCUCCAACCCACCAUCCCCACAGCUCUGCCCCACCUUCAUUAGAUUUGACUCUCUCCAACCCAAAUCAAGUUGCCAUCUCACUCUCUCUCUCUCCCCCCGCCCCUUGGUUUCACCUCCAUGGGGCAUGGUGACUGUCGCUUUCUGGAAUUUGACCCAGUUUGGUGCGAGACCCAUCUACGUGCUAGAGAGAAAGGGCAGCAUAAGCAAACAAACAUCUCCUGAUUUUUACCAUCAUGGUGAUGAUGGGGGGAAAUAAAUGAUGAUGAUCUUGCAUCAGCACCGAAAGUGAUAAAGAUGCGUAUCAAGGUAACAACAUGCAUGGGAUUCAUCUUCAUCUCAUCAAUCCAAAUCAAAUCUACCCCCUUUGCCAUAAAUGCUGCCGUUUUGGGAAAUGGAUGAAGAAAAAUCGCCCAAAAAAAAAAAACUCAAAGAUCAUAGCUUUCUUAGAUGGGUUUGUUAGAAACAGUGAUAAGCAUUCGGUUUCUUCAAAUUUUCACAUCCUUUCAAUGUGUAGCAAGCAACCAGUUUUGUGCAAAUUCCAUUAUAAUUUAUAUGUUGGUGCUGGCAUAUGUGAAAAGUUUGAAGAUUCGUUUGCGUUUUGAAGCAUCAGAGAGCUGGUGAUUCUAGGUCCAAGUUAUUAGUUUUGCCUUGUGAGCCUUUGUUGAGUGCUUUGUUGAAGGAAAACGGUUUUGGGUGUGUUGAUUACAUGUAUAGAGAGGUGAUUAGAAGUAGAAUUGAGCAAGGAAAAGGAUGUUUAUUCUUAGAUNNNNNNNNNNUUAUUUAUUUAUUUUCUGUUUGACUAUCAAGGAUCUGGUUGCACGGCCCCAAACCUCUUAUUUGAACACGGCCUUGUGCCACCCAGAUCUAAGCAACAAGUCAAGUCGCAGGUCGAUGAGGGUUUGGAUCGCGAUAGCUUCCUCUUCUCCUUCCAUCCUAUGCGGUUGGGUGCUUCAGUAGUUCAAAUAUUGUGGCGUUAUAUGGGGUUAAAGUACCCAGAGUUAUAUGGGGUUGAAGAAAUUGGAUGGGGG
This 1173-nucleotide long non-coding RNA is filed under the name Prunus dulcis (almond). RNAcentral's name for it is "sRNA ncRNA". Lineage: Eukaryota; Viridiplantae; Streptophyta; Magnoliopsida; Rosales; Rosaceae. The record is from RNAcentral.